This 253-nucleotide ribosomal RNA is filed under the name uncultured bacterium. RNAcentral describes it as "partial 16S ribosomal RNA". It matches the Rfam family "Bacterial small subunit ribosomal RNA", at positions 524 to 776 of the family's 1533-position model. The record is from RNAcentral.
UACAGAGACUGCAAGCGUUAUUCGGAUUCACUGGGCGUAAAGGGUGCGCAGGCGGUUGGGUGUGUCAGAUGUGAAAUCCCGAGGCUCAACCUCGGAACUGCGUCUGAAACUACUCGACUAGAGUACUGGAGAGGGUAACGGAAUUCACGGUGUAGCAGUGUAGUGCGUAGAUAUCGUGAGGAACACCAGAGGCGAAGGCAGCCCCCUGGGUCGAUACUGACGCUCAUGCACGAAAGCGUGGGGAGCAAACAGG